RNAcentral lists this ribosomal RNA (406 nucleotides) under uncultured bacterium. Its description in RNAcentral is "partial 16S ribosomal RNA". It matches the Rfam family "Bacterial small subunit ribosomal RNA", at positions 30 to 526 of the family's 1533-position model. The record is from RNAcentral.
AUUGAACGCUGGCGGCAGGCCUAACACAUGCAAGUCGAACGAGUGGCGGACGGGUGGGUAAUGUCUGGGAACAUGCCUGAUGGAGGGGGAUAACUGCUGUAACCGGUAGCUAAUACUGCUACCCCUCGUUUCUGCCCAGGUUGGAUUAGCUAGUAGGUGGGGUAACGGAUAACCUAGGCGACGAUCCCUAGCUGGUCUGAGAGGAUGACCAGCCACACUGGAACUGAGACACGGUCCAGACUCCUACGGGAGGCAGCAGUGGGGAAUAUUGCGCAAUGGGCGAAAGCCUGAUGCAGCCAUGCCGCGUGUGUGAAGAAGGCUUUCGGGUUGUAAAGUACUUUCGGCAGGGAGGCGUUACCCGAAGAGGAAGCACCGGCUAACUCCGUGCCAGCAGCCGCGGUAAUAC